This 294-nucleotide long non-coding RNA is filed under the name Helianthus annuus (common sunflower). RNAcentral describes it as "hypothetical non coding rna". Lineage: Eukaryota; Viridiplantae; Streptophyta; Magnoliopsida; Asterales; Asteraceae. The record is from RNAcentral.
UUGAUCAAAAAGAUCAUCAAUCCUAGGUAGUGGGUAUCGAUUCUUAAUUGUAACUUUAUUCAACUCUCUAUAAUCGAUACACAUUCUCAUCGAUCCAUCUUUCUUUUUCACAAACAACACUGGUGCGCCCCAAGGGGAUGAACUAGGUUGUGCUAAUCUAUAAGGUGCUUUAGCUAUUGGUGCAGUACCCGGAAUUAAAUGAAUUCUAAACUCUACUUCUCUAUCAGGUGUUCCUUAUCUUUAGUGUUAAUGAUUACGGAAAUCAUAUACACCAUUUCUUGCUUUCUCGAAUAA